AUGACGUAAAAAAACGUCGGUAUUUUCUUUAUUUAAUGACGCUUUUGCUAAAAACGUCGGCGUUGACAAUGCUCAAAUUUUACGAUGCUUUUAAGCGUCGUUAAAACAUGACGCUUUUUAAAAGCAUCGGCAGGUCAGUGCAAUCUGCCGACGCUUCCCAAAAGCAUCGACAAAAAAUAGUCGCUAUAUACCUUUCUUCCUGUAGCGGGGGGG
RNAcentral lists this long non-coding RNA (213 nucleotides) under Elaeis guineensis (African oil palm). Its description in RNAcentral is "long non-coding RNA (EGUI_LNC040973)". The record is from RNAcentral. Lineage: Eukaryota; Viridiplantae; Streptophyta; Magnoliopsida; Arecales; Arecaceae.